This 433-nucleotide ribosomal RNA is filed under the name uncultured bacterium. RNAcentral describes it as "partial 16S ribosomal RNA". It matches the Rfam family "Bacterial small subunit ribosomal RNA", at positions 29 to 507 of the family's 1533-position model. The record is from RNAcentral.
AACGAACGCUGGCGGCAUGCCUAACACAUGCAAGUCGAACGAGACCUUCGGGUCUAGUGGCGCACGGGUGCGUAACGCGUGGGAACCUGCCCUUAGGUUCGGAAUAACUCCCCGAAAGGGGUGCUAAUACCGGAUAAUGUCUUCGGACCAAAGAUUUAUCGCCUUUGGAUGGGCCCGCGUUGGAUUAGCUAGUUGGUAGGGUAAAAGCCUACCAAGGCGACGAUCCAUAGCUGGUCUGAGAGGAUGAUCAGGCACACUGGGACUGAGACACGGCCCAGACUCCUACGGGAGGCAGCAGUGGGGAAUAUUGGACCAUGGGCGAAAGCCUGAUCCAGCAAUGCCGCGUGAGUGAUGAAGGCCUUAGGGUUGUAAAGCUCUUUUACCCGGGAUGAUAAUGACAGUACCGGGAGAAUAAGCUCCGGCUAACUCCGUG